RNAcentral lists this long non-coding RNA (1328 nucleotides) under Dasypus novemcinctus (nine-banded armadillo). RNAcentral's name for it is "lncRNA (ENSDNOG00000052548.1)". The record is from RNAcentral. Lineage: Eukaryota; Metazoa; Chordata; Mammalia; Cingulata; Dasypodidae.
GCCUGGAGUUCUGUAAGGAUCCUGGUUGGGAAACACUGGGAGAGCUUCCCCACCUCUGGACCGUUUCGUCUUUCUUCCUCUCUCUAUGCACACACUGAAAUUGCGGACUUGAGCCUGGUAAGGAGAAGGGGGCCUGGUGGGGAGGAGGGGGCUCGGUGGACAUGCGGGUUCCGAUCUAGUCUGUUGUUUUCUAGCUCUGUGACCCUGAGUGAGUUCUUGAACGGCUUCAGGUUUUGUUUUUCUAUCUCUAAAAUGGGAACCAGAACUGCUGCAGGAGAAGCCCCUUUCCCCUCCACACAGCACUUAAUAAAGUGCUCGGCAUGUGACAACUUCUUAUCUGAAUCCUGCUGAUGCCCAGUUCCUCCAUGAAGUCUUCCUAGAUUAUCCCAACUGUGGCAGAGACAGCUGCCCACCCAUAUCUACUCCCCCAUUUUUCUUUCCGAAUAGAGUCCCAGUUUUGUUUUGGGUAACAUGGUGCCCAGCUAAGACACUCUUUCUCAGACUCCCUUGCAGUUAGUACAGCCAUGGAUUGCAGGUACAGCCAAGGAGAUGUAAAUCGAAGUCAUUGGGUGGGGCUCCUGAGAACCUCUUUAAAGGAGGCUGAUUCAAUGGACAUGUGCCCUCUUGCCCCUUAUCCUUGUCCUCCUUUUCCUUGUCAGGAAUGAGGAUGUGAUGGCUGGAGCCACAGUGGCUAUAUUACAACAUACUGCAAACUUGAAGAUGGAGGUCACAUCCUAGUAUGGCAGAGCAGAAGGGUAGAAGGAGCCGGGGACACUGACGGCCUGAUGGGAACCCUCGGUGCAAAUGUGGUCCACCAGACUUCAGGGUUUGUCUUAUGUGAGGGAAGGAGAAGCCAUUAUUUGGGAUUUCUACUACAGGCAGCUCAGCGCAGUCCCUGCGGACACCCUCUUCUCCGAGCUCUCAGUUAUGUUCCCUGUUCUAAAUUUAUAGGUCAGGGGAUUGGAUGGAAAGCGCUGCCCGAUGGGGUGACCCCUGGCAGUGGGCAGCGGCCGAAGAGCAGAGGACGGGCCCUGGCUGGGGGCCGGGGGUGAGGGCCCAGCCCAGCUCUCUGAGGCCGGUGGGCUCUGAUGUCGUAGGAUGCCUCCCUCUCCUCCUUCCUGGGCCUCAGUGGCCCUCGGCAGAAGGAGGAAUUGAACCUGAUGAUCUAAGGUGUUUUCCCGCUGUCCCAGGGCCCGACUUGAAGAACUAAGUGCCAUUGUGCCCGUGAGAAAGGUGGACACAGACUCACAAGAACCAGUGCUUUCUGUUCAUUCAUUCAUUUAACAAAUAUCUAUUGAGCAUUUACUGUGUGUCAUAAAAAUCUCUAC